RNAcentral lists this ribosomal RNA (253 nucleotides) under uncultured bacterium. RNAcentral's name for it is "partial 16S ribosomal RNA". It matches the Rfam family "Bacterial small subunit ribosomal RNA", at positions 524 to 776 of the family's 1533-position model. The record is from RNAcentral.
GACGUAGGAGGCAAGCGUUAUCCGGAGUUACUGGGCGUAAAGCGCGUGUAGGCGGAUUGGUAAGUGGUUCGUGAAAGAGCCGGGCUAAACCCGGAAGGUGCGAAUCAGACUGCUAGUCUGGAGGCGGGUAGAGGGGUGCGGAAUUCCGGGUGUAGCGGUGAAAUGUGUAGAUAUCCGGAGGAACACCAGAGGUGCAGACGGCGCCCUGGGCCCGACCUGACGCUGAGACGCGAAAGCUUGGGGAGCGAACGGG